UCCGCUGUGGUGUAGUCGGUAACAUUUAUGGUUCUCACCCAUGCGCCCCGGGUUCGAUUCCCGGCAGCGGAA
This is a transfer RNA of Acanthamoeba castellanii str. Neff, 72 nucleotides long. It matches the Rfam family "tRNA". Rfam says of the family: Transfer RNA (tRNA) molecules are approximately 80 nucleotides in length. Their secondary structure includes four short double-helical elements and three loops (D, anti-codon, and T loops). The record is from Rfam. Lineage: Eukaryota; Discosea; Longamoebia; Acanthamoebidae.